Molecule: transfer-messenger RNA, 401 nt
Filed under: Anaerolineales
Lineage: Bacteria; Bacillati; Chloroflexota; Anaerolineae
Also listed under: 1 other name
Description: W1033 sp011192015 Standard tmRNA
Rfam family: transfer-messenger RNA
About the family: Bacterial tmRNA, also known as 10Sa RNA or SsrA, is named for its dual tRNA and mRNA-like properties. Its role is to liberate the mRNA from a stalled ribosome.
Source: RNAcentral
GGGGAUGACAGGCUUCGACGGGGGUGGAUUGCCACGACUUGCAAGCCGAGAGGCGCCGAACUCGAUAAAUCAGCGCACACUUACAAGUGCCAAUCGCACUGACUUUGCGGCUCUUCCACUAGCGGCCUAACCUCCGCAAACGGUAGAACCCAAACGCCCGGCCUGGCUGGGCACGCUCCCCGGGUCGCCCUCAUCCGAUCCGGGAUCAGCGACAGAUGGAUGAGGUGCCGCAUAACAAGCCACGGGUUCAUGCGAAAGAGGCCGAGAGGUCCAGUGGCUGGCCAGAAGGUGAAACCCAGUUUGCCAGGUGCCUUCUGGUGAGAUCAAAAGGCAGACUAAGCUUGUAGACGGUUGAUGGAAGAAACCUUCGGACGCGGGUUCGAUUCCCGCCAUCUCCACAA